GAUGAACGCUGGCGGCGUGCCUAAUACAUGCAAGUCGAGCGAACGGACGAGAAGCUUGCUUCUCUGAUGUUAGCGGCGGACGGGUGGGUAACACGUGGAUAACCUACCUAUAAGACUGGGAUAACUUCGGGAAACCGGAGCUAAUACCGGAUGAUAUUUUGAACCGCAUGGUUCAAAGGUGAAAGACGGUCUUGCUGUCACUUAUAGAUGGAUCCGCGCUGCAUUAGCUAGUUGGUAAGGUAACGGCUUACCAAGGCAACGAUGCAUAGCCGACCUGAGAGGGUGAUCGGCCACACUGGAACUGAGACACGGUCCAGACUCCUACGGGAGGCAGCAGUAGGGAAUCUUCCGCAAUGGGCGAAAGCCUGACGGAGCAACGCCGCGUGAGUGAUGAAGGUCUUCGGAUCGUAAAACUCUGUUAUUAGGGAAGAACAUAUGUGUAAGUAACUGUGCACAUCUUGACGGUACCUAAUCAGAAAGCCACGGCUAACUACGUG
RNAcentral lists this ribosomal RNA (497 nucleotides) under uncultured bacterium. RNAcentral describes it as "partial 16S ribosomal RNA". It matches the Rfam family "Bacterial small subunit ribosomal RNA", at positions 28 to 507 of the family's 1533-position model. The record is from RNAcentral.